This 378-nucleotide ribosomal RNA is filed under the name Bacillus tropicus. RNAcentral's name for it is "bacterial SSU rRNA". It matches the Rfam family "Bacterial small subunit ribosomal RNA", at positions 463 to 840 of the family's 1533-position model. The record is from RNAcentral. Lineage: Bacteria; Bacillati; Bacillota; Bacilli; Caryophanales; Bacillaceae.
GGCACCUUGACGGUACCUAACCAGAAAGCCACGGCUAACUACGUGCCAGCAGCCGCGGUAAUACGUAGGUGGCAAGCGUUAUCCGGAAUUAUUGGGCGUAAAGCGCGCGCAGGCGGUUUCUUAAGUCUGAUGUGAAAGCCCACGGCUCAACCGUGGAGGGUCAUUGGAAACUGGGGGACUUGAGUGCAGAAGAGGAAAGUGGAAUUCCAUGUGUAGCGGUGAAAUGCGUAGAGAUAUGGAGGAACACCAGUGGCGAAGGCGACUUUCUGGUCUGUAACUGACGCUGAGGCGCGAAAGCGUGGGGAGCAAACAGGAUUAGAUACCCUGGUAGUCCACGCCGUAAACGAUGAGUGCUAAGUGUUAGAGGGUUCCGCCCUU